RNAcentral lists this ribosomal RNA (440 nucleotides) under uncultured bacterium. RNAcentral's name for it is "partial 16S ribosomal RNA". It matches the Rfam family "Bacterial small subunit ribosomal RNA", at positions 338 to 795 of the family's 1533-position model. The record is from RNAcentral.
CCUACGGGAGGCAGCAGUAGGGAAUAUUGCUCAAUGGGAGAAACCCUGAAGCAGCCACGCCGCGUGGAGGAUGAAGGUUUUCGGAUUGUAAACUCCUUUUGUUAGAGAAGAAAAUGACGGUAUCUAACGAAUAAGCACCGGCUAACUCCGUGCCAGCAGCCGCGGUAAUACGGAGGGUGCAAGCGUUACUCGGAAUCACUGGGCGUAAAGCGCGCGUAGGCGGGAUAGCAAGUCAGAUGUGAAAUCCUAUGGCUUAACCAUAGAACUGCAUUUGAAACUGUUAUUCUAGAGUAUGGGAGAGGUAGGUGGAAUUCUUGGUGUAGGGGUAAAAUCCGUAGAGAUCAAGAGGAAUACUCAUUGCGAAGGCGACCUGCUAGAACAUAACUGACGCUGAUGCGCGAAAGCGUGGGGAGCAAACAGGAUUAGAUACCCGAGUAGUC